Molecule: long non-coding RNA, 463 nt
Organism: Ochotona princeps (American pika)
Lineage: Eukaryota; Metazoa; Chordata; Mammalia; Lagomorpha; Ochotonidae
Exons: 5
Source: RefSeq, a predicted model, not a curated record
GAUGAGUGAAUGUGAUAGCAACUGUGUGAGUGGCACCUGGAGAUGGCUGACAGUGUGGUAACAAGCAAGCAAGCAGCCAUCAUGCUGGGCACACUGCAUCGCAGUAAUGUAACAGCAAUAUCUUUGGCCACCAUGUAAGGAUAACAGCAAGAUUAUUUGCAGCUCACACAAGAGCUCCCUGCUUAUGUGCCUGGGGAGGCAGUGGAAGAUGGACCACGUGGGAGGCCCUGCCACCCAUGGGGAAGACUCAGACAAAGCUCUGGGUUCCAGGUCCGCUGAGGCUGCCACAACCCCCAGCUCCUCAAGUGCUCCCACCUACCCGCUGGGGCCCCUACUGCAGAACCUGGCCCCUAAGCUUCCAAUGUCCUGCUCUUGAGCUCCUGGGCCUAGAACCCAGUGUAGAGGGACUGGACCUCCUGACGUCUGUGAGGGCAAUGCCAGAGAACUGCUUCUGCUUCCCGAG